This 415-nucleotide ribosomal RNA is filed under the name uncultured crenarchaeote. RNAcentral's name for it is "partial 16S ribosomal RNA". It matches the Rfam family "Archaeal small subunit ribosomal RNA", at positions 330 to 747 of the family's 1478-position model. Lineage: Archaea; Thermoproteati; Thermoproteota. The record is from RNAcentral.
GCGCACCAGGCGCGAAAACUCCGCAAUGCACGAAAGUGCGACGGGGUUACCUCGAGUGCCGCCUGAUGAAGGCGGCUUUUCCACAGUGUAAGGAGCUGUGGGAAUAAGGAGAGGGCAAGUCUGGUGUCAGCCGCCGCGGUAAUACCAGCUCUCCGAGUGGUAGGGACGAUUAUUGGGCUUAAAGCGUCCGUAGCCGGCUCAGCAAGUCUCCCGUUAAAUCCAACGAUUCAAUCGUUGGACUGCGGGAGAUACUGUUGAGCUAGGAGGCGGGAGAGGCCGACGGUAUUCCCGGAGUAGGGGUGAAAUCUUAUAAUUCCGGGAGGACCACCAGUGGCGAAGGCUGUCGGCUAGAACGCGCUCGACGGUGAUGGACGAAAGCUGGGGGAGCGAACCGGAUUAGAUACCCGGGUAGUCC